This 1568-nucleotide long non-coding RNA is filed under the name Calidris pugnax (ruff). RNAcentral's name for it is "lncRNA (ENSCPUG00000000542.1)". The record is from RNAcentral. Lineage: Eukaryota; Metazoa; Chordata; Aves; Charadriiformes; Scolopacidae.
GGCUCAGACACAAUAAGGACAGAUAAAGAAAUGCAAAGAGCAUUGCAAAACACUAUUUAUUACUAUUUUCAGCGGUGGGGCACAAAGUACGACGUCUUUCUGAUGAAGUCCUUCUCAGCACAUUUCUGACGUGGUGCCAGGUUAACUGAGAUGCUGCAGUUCCAAGGAGGCAGGAAAAAAGUUGGAGAUGAACUUGUAGCCCAUGACAGCAAUGUCAUCUACACCCGCUCGCCUGUCCCUUCUUUACGGGUAAUCUGGUGGUCUUCCUGCCACCAAUGUCUCGGUGUCAUCCAUUUCCUUUGUCCCAUCCCAGAAGUAGCAUCAGCAAAAAUAUACUGGAAGAUCACACUGGGCUGGUAGCCAAUGCAGAUUUAUGUCUUUGGGUUGUUUUUUUUUUUUUCGUUGUGAGCUGCCUUUGAUUUAAAGACCAGCUUUUUAUCACGGACGAGGUGUUGAGCUAGGGACCAGGGCUUGGCAGCAGGGUCCUGCUGAAUGGCCCCAGGCAGGACAUUUGGCCCCAACUCUGUUCAUGUGUUGGGGAUUGGCCUGUUUAAAAUCCAUUUGGUGCUCUCUUCUCCUGGAAAUUGCCACUGAGGGAGAUUUUUGGUUUGUUUGUUUUCUCACAGAUGACAAAGGAGGCGACGCAGAAUGCCAGCUGGAUGUCCCAGUAACACCGGGGUACGGAUGGCCCCCAUAUUUGGUGGCUGUUCCCAGGGAUGGUGCAUGGCGAGGUGGCCACGAACACCGGGAUGAAGAUGAGCAGUGAAGUGAUGGCUGGUUCCAGUCACAGCACAUUGGGCAAUGUUCAAGGCUGUCAGCUCAGCUGUGCCCGGCACUUCCAGGAUGAGAGAGCAGGAUGAGUCUACAAGCCCACAUUAAAGAUUUAGAGGAAGGCACGCUGCCCUUCAUCUGCUGCCGCCGUCGUCGUCGCACCAACUUUGAACACACUUUGCCCCAAGACUCUCUGGCGGCGCUGGACUGUGUCGGUGAGUGGUGCCAGCUGAACUCAUGCAGUAAAGAAGAGUGAUUAUACAUCCUGUAUGUAAUCACGGAACAUAUGUUAGAAUGGCACAUGAAAUCUGGGCACACUUUACCCAUGUAGUAAAGACCAGGAAAAUUAUGAACAAGCUACAGAAGGAAAACAACUUGCCAAAAUUUCCCAAACCAAGCAGGAGGUUCCAGCGAGCUGGAACUCCACACAGUAUAUUCUUGAGGGGGUUUUGGAACAGAAACCUGGAUAUGUCUAUAGCAUGUUGGCAAUGCUCAUGAUAUAAAGAGCAGAUGUCCUCACCUCCACCCACACGAUUAUGGCUGCCAGUUUUUCUAAUAUCUUCUGCCUGAUGAACUGUCCAGUUGCAAGAAUUUAGGCAGAAAAAUAUAAAUGGUAUUUCUAAAUUAGGGACAUUUUGCUAGAUGCUAACCUUCCAGAACUGCUCAGUAAGGCAGAACUGGUUGAAGGAAAAAGACAAAAGGACCAAGCCAAACCAUGGUUUGUCUUGGGGAGGAAGUUUAGAUAAAUAUAUUUUAAAAAAAAUAAAAAAUAUCUAUUUUUAGAUUUAAAAAUAACU